Molecule: long non-coding RNA, 718 nt
Organism: Micropterus dolomieu (smallmouth bass)
Lineage: Eukaryota; Metazoa; Chordata; Actinopteri; Centrarchiformes; Centrarchidae
Exons: 3
Source: RefSeq, a predicted model, not a curated record
CGGACAGCCUGAUGGUAAACAAUACUGUGUGGCUGAGACGUCAGAACACUAUUGGGAUGAUGUGAGCUGUGACAGUGAGCUUUCAUUCUUCUGUCAAGGAGCCCUGAAAGUUAAGAUAGCCGUGAUGAGGAUUAAGAUUCAGACUGAUGCUGACCUUUCAGAUCCAGCUACUAACGGCGAGAUCCUUCAACAGCUAGGUGCAGUGCUGACAAACAAGGCUUCGCUGACUGACUUCAACCUGCAGUGGAAGAUUCAACCCAGAAAACAGACAAAGAGAAACGAAGUGAAUGAUGAAGCCAAUGGACAAGAUGCCCUUUGAAAAAUUACAUGCAGUAGGCUAUAUUGUGCAUUUUAAAAGUAACUAAACACCAGGCUGUAAAGCACUGUUUAACCACUCUCUAUGGUUGAAUGUUUCAGUGGAAACAUUGAAGGUCAGCAAAGAUGUGAUUUUCAAGGGUUUUUAGUUACUACAACUAACCUAAAAAAAGGAUGAUGAUGAUGUCAUCCUUCACCUUUGAGUCGUCCGUUUUUAUAAAUUCAGGUCACCUCUUUCUGUGUCACCGCUGAUUCUUUGGUGUUCAGUUAUCUUACUUUAACAGGCAUGUCCACUGUAAAAUAUUUAUUUGUAGUGUUUUUUGAGUUCCAAAUCUUUUUUUUUUGUCUAUGAUAGGUAGUCUACAGUACAACAAAAUGACAGACUAUAGCUGUAAUCCGUGGC